Molecule: ribosomal RNA, 274 nt
Filed under: uncultured bacterium
Lineage: Bacteria
Description: partial 16S ribosomal RNA
Rfam family: Bacterial small subunit ribosomal RNA
Source: RNAcentral
AUACGGAGGGUGCAAGCGUUAUUCGGAAUCACUGGGCGUAAAGGGCGCGUAGGCGGGUUGGCAAGUCAGAUGUGAAAUCCUACAGCUUAACUGUAGAACUGCAUUUGAAACUGCUAACCUAGAGUAUGGGAGGGGGAGAUGGAAUUAGUGGUGUAGGGGAAAAAUCCGUAGAUAUCACUAGGAAUACCGAAAGCGAAGGCGAUCUCCUGGAACAUAACUGACGCUAAGGCGUGAAAGCGUGGGGAGCAAACAGGAUUAGAUACCCCAGUAGUCC